This is a long non-coding RNA of Loxodonta africana (African savanna elephant), 3941 nucleotides long. RefSeq lists it as uncharacterized. The transcript has 4 exons. The record is from RefSeq and is a predicted model, not a curated record. NCBI's taxonomy places the organism in Eukaryota, Metazoa, Chordata, Mammalia, Proboscidea, Elephantidae.
GUGGGUGAGGGAGCCCCCGCUGGAGCCCGGCGCGUCGCCCCAGCCCCUCCCUCGACGUCAGGCCGCUGAGGCAGCGAGAGCGAGCAAGAGGGAGGGAGAGCAAGGGCGGGAAGAAGGGGCUGGAGCGAGCGAGCGAGCGAGUGCCCUCGCGUGUGGCGUGAGGCGAAGCUGCCUGACCGCCCCCUUCGCCGUCCCUUCUCCGCCUCCCGUUCCCCAGCCCGUCCCGACCACGGAGCAGCACUAUGUCGGCGCCGGCAGCCAAAGUCAUUAAAACGGAGCCCGACUUGGACCUGUACGGGGCCGCGGAGACCUCAGAAAAAGAACAGCAGGAAGUAAUUGAACAUACUGGUGAAGUACAAAAUGAUAUAGACAGACCUAAUGAACAAGUCAGUGAGGAGAUUUUGAAAGUAGAGCAGGAAUAUAACAAACUCCAUCAACCAUUCUUUCAGAAGAGGUCAGAAUUGAUGACCAAAAUCCCAAGUAUUUGGGUAAAAACAUUUGUCAACUGUCCAAAAGAAUCUGAAAUUGUCGCACCUUCAGACCCUAUAAAUAACAGAAAUACAGAUCCUGCUUUGUGGAAUAAUUUUUCUUCUAAUGAUGUAAACUAUUGGAUCGAAAGAGGGCCAAGUGAUUGUCAGCAUCACAGUGGACCAUUUGAAAAUUCAUGUCGAAAAUUUCUUGAUGGUAAACAAACAAGGUUCUGUAGCCAGAAUAUAUUUCUAGGGUGCAAAGCUAAUGGUGAAAAUUAUAAGAGGGAGUGGCUACUGUAUUCUCCCUCAGUCGGUUCUGUAUUUUGUUUUGUUUGCAAAUUAUUCAGUCCUAAAUCUAAUUCUCGGUUUGCUACAAUUGGAUUUAGCGAUUGGCGCAACUUGAGUAUGAUUGAUAAACACGAAAAUAGUUCAAUUCACAGAGAUUGUAUGUUGGCAUACUUAAACCGAAGACGUGGUUUUGGCUUAACUCAUGAACUGGAAACACAAAUUAAUGAAGAACGUCGGCAUUGGAAAGCUAUUUUGCAACGUGUUGUUGCUGUCAUUAUAACAAUCGCUGAACAAGGAUUAUCUUUUCAAGGAAAAAAUGAAGUAUUUGGGUCCCCACAAAAUGGAAAUUUUUUGGGUUUACUUGAACUUGUUGCUCAGUUUGAUCCAUUUUUAGCAGGUCACAUUGCAAAAUUCAGUAACACAGGAAAGAGCAACCCAUCAUAUAUGUCUAAAACAACAUGUGAAGAAUUGAUAAAUCUAAUAAGUAAUAAAGUUCGAUUCACUAUUUUCAAUGAAAUAAGUCUAGCUCGAUAUUUCAGUUUGUCUGUAGAUUCCACUCCUGAUCUUUCCCAUACAGAUCAGCUAAGCAUUGUUUUAAGAUAUGUAUCUCCAACAGAUGGGAAACCUGUCGAGCGAUUUAUCACAUUUGCUACCUUAAAAGGUCAUACUGGUGAAGAAAUUGCAGAGCAGGUACUUCACUAUUUGUGUGAAGUUUGCAAAAUUGAUUUUUCUAAGUGCAGAGGCCAGUCCUAUGACAGUGCUGCCAAUAUGUCAGGGUGUUAUAAAGGCAUGCAACAGAAAAUUUUAGAACGUAAUGAAUAUGCUAUUUUCGUACCAUGUGCUGCGCAUUCACUUAAUCUUGUAGGACGAAGCGCAGUAGACUGUUGUCCAGAAGCAGUUGAUUUUUUUUCUACUGUUCAGUUACUCUGCACAUUUUUUGCUGCCUCUACUCACCGUUGGGCAGUUCUUAAAACACAUUUAGGCAGUGAUCGAGUAUUAAAAUGCCUCUCUAAUACACGUUGGGAAGCGCAUGCUGUAGCAAUGAGUGCAAUCCUGGAAUCAUACACUCAGAUUCUAGAUGCCUUAGAAAACAUUGCUGAAGACCAGACACAAAAAGGAGAUACCAAAAGAGAAGCUGAGAGCAUCGCCAACAAAAUGCAAACACUGGAGUAUGUGUUUAUGUUGGUUAUGUGGAAUAAUAUAUUGCAGCAUUUUCACUGGGCAAGUCAAACUCUCCAAGAUUCAGAAGUAAAUUUAAAGACAUGCACAGAUCUCUAUCAGUCAUUAACAGGGUAUUUACAUAAUUUAAGAGACUAUUUUGAAAAUUUUGAAAACACAGCAAAGCAGAUACUGCCAAAUACUGAUUAUCAAGCAGUUCAUCAUGGCAGAACCAUUAGAAAGAAACAAGUAAAUGAGGGAAGUGCUCCAGAAGUAUUGAGUGCCAGAGAUCAAUUUCGCGUAACCACAUACUACGCCAUUAUUGACACACUUGAAUCUUGCAUGAAAAGAAGGGCAGAAGUAUAUGAAGUUCUCUCAAAUAGAUUUUCUUUCUUAAACAACAUAGAUGUACCCGAUGAAGAAUGCAUGGAGGCGUCCAAGAAAUUAGUGCAGGCUUACCCCGAUGACUUAAAUACAAACCUCCACGGAGAGGUGCGACAGUUUCAUUCUUACGUUAGAACUAAGUUUACAGAUUCAGGAAAGACACAUUUUACUCAUGAAGACAUGUAUGAGUUCAUAAUAGAAGAUAAAAUACAAUGUGUAUUUCCCAAUGUUGAAAUUGCUUUACGCAUGUUCCUAACUUUAAUGAUCACAAACUGCACAACAGAACGCUCAUUUUCGUCCCUAAAGAGACUCAAAAACCCUCAGCAUACAACAGUGACUCAAGUAAGACAUGAUUCAUUAGCCAUACUAUGUAUGGAAGUAGAUAUUGUUCGACAGCUUGAUUGUGAUGAAAUCAUUGAAGAAUUUGUAAGAGCAAAGAAUAGAAAGAAAUGUUUUUACUUGUAACACAUUAGAGGUGAAAGAUCUGUCUAAAAAUAAAGCAAUUUGUUGUAAUACUUGUUUUCUGAUCAUUAAAUUUUCAUUGAUGAUUUCAUUUGUGUAUAAUUUCAUUUAUUGGAAAACACAUCGGAAUUGAAGUAUGAGCCAUUCAGAGCAAAAUUGGUGAAAGUCAGUUUUUUGUAGUGAGAGAUCAACAGAAUUUUACAUUGUUGAAAAAACUAAGUUCACUGACACAUUUUCUUUGUUGCAGAAUGUGUGGAAUAUUCUUUGUUGAAGAUGUGGCAUAUAGUAAAAAUCUUUUGUGCCCCACGUCCACUAAAAAUUUUACGACCCAGUUCAUCUCAUUCUGCUGAAAUGAUAUACGCCACUUUUGCGUUCAGUCACUGAUAUUACAGUUUAAUUUUAAAAGAAGCCACAUCAUGGACACACACGUAUGUGCACACACACAUAUACACGUGUAUGUCUAACUCAUAUCCUGUUUGAAUGCAUCAGUAAGCAGAGAGGCAGCACAGAUUAUCAGUGCUUAAGGCCGCUGGUUUUCACCUCACUCCCCACUUCCUGACCUGUUUCCAGUGGACUCCAUCCCUGUCCCCUGUGUGGUGUAUGCUUUCCAGCAUCCCCCCUGCUGGGCUGCUCUGUUCUUAUUCUUUUCCUGACUAAUUCUGGGAAACAUCUCAGUUGGUCCAGCCUGGUCCCUGGUGGCUUUCUGUGAGACUCUGAAAGUUAAAAACUGCCUCUCUUACCUGACAACCCAUCAGCAAAUACACAAUUGCAGCAUUCUUUGGGAACCCUUUGAGGAUCUCCCAGCCUGCUAGGCUUCCAUAGAGCCCAGGCAGAAUGUGCAGGUUGAAGGAAGAACAGCCAGUCAGGUUCCCACCUUACCAAUCACAUGCCACCCUUGUUGCUUGCUACACCACCUUUCACAUACCAACUCCAGAUGUAAUCCUUGGCCGAAAGCAUUUAACAGGAGCAUAGGGAGCAAGAACCCUGAUGGGAAAUGGCUAGCCAGAUGAUAAUUAACUUCCGCUCAGGCUGUAGGAUAAAGUCACACACCACGUAAUGUCUUUUUGGGCAAGGUCUGACUGCAUAUAGGUCCGUGGUCCCAUAAAGUUUUGUUUUAAAGGAAAAGCAGCUGUCCUUUUAUUUCUCCCAAAUGGUUUCAAAGACCCCAAAUCCUCUGAG